AAAUUAGCAUUUUAACAUAAGGGCAUCACACAAUUAGUUACAAAAUCCAAAUACAAAAACUAUGCUAGGUCUGCAUUUUUUUUCAUGCAUCACCUGAGCUCACUGCACUUUCUGUGCAGUAGCAACCUGAAGCCAAAAGAACACAAAACUGUACAAACGAAAAUAAAAAUAUGUCCACAUGCCAAAUAACUUUGAAAGCCUGAGUCCUACCACAACAGUUCAAACAGUCAAUAGUAAGAAACGAAGUACAAAAAUGGAUUAGUAGACAUUUCCUCCGUAUGGCGAAUUGCCUGAAAAGAGAGCAGUAGGUAUAAUGAUGGGUGUUACUUUCUUGUGCAACCACCAAAACUUCACCAAGAAAGUAAAAUAUAUUAGGAUCAUCGUACCUUUAUUUUCACUAUAAUCCUUGCCCUUCCUUCUAGACUAUAUGAUGAUGGUGCAAGCUAGCUAGCAUCUUCAGAUUAGUCCAUCCAAAAAGAACACCAGAAGUAACUAUUGGAUUGAUUGUAUUAUCCCUGAAACGUCAUUAUCACAAAUUCAGUUAGAGCAUAAUAAUAAAUAGAAGUGCAGGGCUUGCUUAUCACACUUGACUCAUAGGCCUUAUCUAAUCCCUUUCCAAAGCAAACCAUCUAUCUAUUUGAAAUAGGCAAGAGGUAGGAAAAAAUGCUAUAUACCAAAGAGUCAUAGUGAGAAAAGCAUUUGGUAGGAUUAUCAUUGUCUUCUCAUUUAAUUCCCCAGCUACCGGCCUAACACUGAAGGUUGCACUGCAACUACUUGGUUCCAAGUUCAAUAUGGAAAUUUGCAGAAAGUUUAGGCUGAACAGUUUUUAUAAAAAAUAAAACCCAGUGCAACAUAGGAUAAGAAAUGCCUAGUGCAAUCAUAAUCAUGUGGUUACUAUUGUUGAUUGUUUGCAGGAAGCUCAAAGGAAGCAAGACUUCAACAAAAAUCUCUGAAUGCAUUCCAAGCUUCUGUAAGGCAUACGUCAUUUCAAAGGGCAAACUAUCAUUCAUGCACUCUACACCUGAUGCCUGCAAAACAGCCAAGACCAUAUCUUCUUCAACUGUUUCUUCUCCUAGCUCCGGAAGCCUUUCCACUGCGCCCUCAGGUAAUACUCAAGUCUGCAUUUGAUUUUGGUUUCUGAAAAUUGUUGAUUACACCUAUCAACUGAAUACAAACAAAAAAAGUGUAUUAGUGUGUUACUAACUAUUCUGUCUACAGCAGAGUGGGCUGACAGAAAUGGAAUGUCAGCUGUAUUAUUCCGCCAGUCAUCUCUGCCAUCGCAUCGUGAUCACACACUCAUAAAUAUAAACAGGUCAAUCCUGAAGCUAGCCCUUCAGGCAGUGCUGGCGCGCGAGAUCUCUUACCAUGCUGAUACAACCCUGAAGACAAAUUCACAAUCAAUCACAUCAGUAGUGCAGCUCAGUAGCAGCAGCAGUGGGGAUUCAGUUUAUAGCAGCUUCCAGGGGAUAGCUUCCGAGAUAUCUCUGAUCUACAGGCAGCAGUUUCAAAAACUGCAACAAACCUUGGGCAUUCUCAUGACCAGGUAGCCGUUUCACCUUGGGCAAAAACAUUUCAUUCUAUUGGGUACAAAUUUUUUUCUUUUAAGAUGAUGGAAGGGUUCAUCUCUAGGCCUCAGCAUCAUACAAUGCACACUACCAAAGCAAAAUAUCACUACAUGAAAGCAUACAUGUUUACCCAAAUGAAUGUGCAAUUUAUGAUAUUUUUUGGCUCAACAGGAUGAUCUGAAGCUUCAAAUUGAGAGUAUGAAGGUCAAACUGCGACAUGUAUUCUACAGUUGUGGCUAUGGACAACUUUUGGCCAGUCCGGUGUAUUCUAUGGUUGAGGCAAUGGAGCACUUUUGACCAGUCUGGUGUAUUCUAAAGUUGUGGCACUGGAGUAGUCAUUAUCCACAAUACCAGGUAUGUUGUUGUUACCAUGUAUCAAUGUGAACAUGAAUCGUGAGCACUGGAUAAUAGUAGUAAUGAUAUACUCCCUCCGUCCCAAAAUUCUUGUCUUAAAUUUGUCUAAAUAUGGAUGUAUCAAGUCACGUUUUAGUAUUAGAUACAUCCGUAUCUAGACAAAUCUAAGACAAGAAUUUUGGGAUGGAGGGAGUAUAUACAAUGUAUAUUUUGUUCCAGUCUAUGCUAUGACAUUGUGAGCCACAUCUAUUUUGUGCACAUUUUGCUUUGUAUUUGAAAAAUCCCCCCUCCCUCUUUGCUGCUUGUCAUGCUCAGACACCGGCAGAUAGGACAAAUAAACCAUACACAAUACAUGUACAUAUGAACUGAAAUACACUAGGCAUCCUAAAGCUAACAUGGAAAAAUAAUGAAACGACCUGAAAGAACGAAUGCAGCAAAUGCUAAAGCAUAUAAUAAUGAAGGUCUAUGAAAACCUAGCUGUUUUUUGGGGACAAGAAUCAGUUAUUUCUAGUUCCCUAAUUCUGGAGCUCUGUGUGAACAAGGCCAGAGGACUAAAAUAUCAAAAGCUAGCUAAGGACUCAUCAACAGAUUUUUCUUGUGCUGGCUAUAUGUCUCAAACGAACAAUAGGCAAAGGGUGUACUUAUGAACAUACGUAAGCAGACACCAUAUCAAUAGCUAACAGCAUCACACAACAACCCGAUCACACAUCAAGAUGGAUUGAUGGAAAUGGAAAGAUAAAGUAUGCUAUUGCAGUAGAACCAAGUGUAAUAAUGAUUAUAAGCACAGGUAUGUAUAUUUGAGAAAAUAGAAGAUUAAGAAAGGGGAACAUGCAUCAAAAAAAGCUUUCGAAAAGCAGUAGUAAUUUCACCUCUGCAACAGAGAAAGUACAAGUAGUUGGCUUUUCCUACUGAUGCCUAAUUGCCUAAAUAAAAAAUGAGUAGUAGGUAUAAUGAUGGUGUUAUUUUCUUGCGCAAGCACCAAAACUUCGCUGAAAAGGUAAAAUAUAUUCGGAGCAUUGUACCUUUAUUUUCCCUAUGAUCCUUGCCCUUGCUUCUCGACUAUAUGGGCCUUAUCUAAUUCCUCUCCAAAGCAAACCAUCUUUAUAUGCGAAAUAGGCAAUAGGUGUGAGCAAAAAUGCUAUAUACCAAAGAGUACAUGGCAAUCUAAACUGAAGUGCUGCUCACAAGAAACCGAAUAUGAUAACAUGUUGUUGCCCGCUCUAAUAAUAUAUAAGGUGUUGGAAAGGAGGGGGUCUAUUUUAUUUAUACAGUUUAGUUUAGUGAUUUGGUAAAAAAUAAGGGCAUAUCCAAGCCAGACAUAUCCAAGCCUCAAAUCCAUCGAGUCACUUUGGUUAGAUCAUAAUGAGCAGAAAUGAAAAAUAGUGGCAAAUUCAGCAAAAAGAAAAACAAGUUUUGCAUCUACACAAAAGUGAAGCAAGUUAAUGAGCUAAAUUAGUGGACCUAGCACAUAUCAGCAAAAGAAAAGGUGGGAGGAGUGAUACGCCUUCUACCUGUCAACGCAUGGCUGCAGAGGGUCGCUUGCCUACGCCCCUCGCCCACGUUGCCAUGGCCCU
This 3493-nucleotide long non-coding RNA is filed under the name Triticum aestivum (bread wheat). Its description in RNAcentral is "long non-coding RNA (TAES_LNC006897)". The stretch from base 1984 to 2118 matches the Rfam family "MIR1120/MIR1122 microRNA precursor family". Lineage: Eukaryota; Viridiplantae; Streptophyta; Magnoliopsida; Poales; Poaceae. The record is from RNAcentral.